GAUGAACGCUGGCGGCGUGCCUAAUACAUGCAAGUAGAACGCUGAAGCUUGGUGCUUGCACCGAGCGGAUGAGUUGCGAACGGGUGAGUAACGCGUAGGUAACCUGCCUCUUAGCGGGGGAUAACUAUUGGAAACGAUAGCUAAUACCGCAUAAAAGUCGAUAUCGCAUGAUAUUGAUUUGAAAGGUGCAAAUGCAUCACUAAGAGAUGGACCUGCGUUGUAUUAGCUAGUUGGUGAGGUAACGGCUCACCAAGGCGACGAUACAUAGCCGACCUGAGAGGGUGAUCGGCCACACUGGGACUGAGACACGGCCCAGACUCCUACGGGAGGCAGCAGUAGGGAAUCUUCGGCAAUGGGGGCAACCCUGACCGAGCAACGCCGCGUGAGUGAAGAAGGUUUUCGGAUCGUAAAGCUCUGUUGUAAGAGAAGAACGAGUGUGAGAGUGGAAAGCUCACACUGUGACGGUAACUUACCAGAAAGGGACGGCUAACUACGUG
Molecule: ribosomal RNA, 497 nt
Filed under: uncultured bacterium
Lineage: Bacteria
Description: partial 16S ribosomal RNA
Rfam family: Bacterial small subunit ribosomal RNA
Source: RNAcentral